Mycena rebaudengoi is the source of this 91-nucleotide non-coding RNA. Lineage: Eukaryota; Fungi; Basidiomycota; Agaricomycetes; Agaricales; Mycenaceae. The record is from the annotation of a GenBank genome assembly.
GACCUGAUAGCGAAGUCGACAUCGCAUCCACUCCCCCUGAGGGCAAACAAUGUUGAUGUGGAAGUCCCUCGUUCGACUUGAGGUUAGGUCA